UAACGCGUAGGAACCUGUCGCACAGAGGGGGAUAACGCUGGGAAACCGGCGCUAAUACCGCAUGUGGUUCUUGAAGGGGACUUCAAGAAAGAAAGCAGCAAUGCGCUGUGUGAGGGGCCUGCGUCCGAUUAGCUAGUUGGUGGGGUAAUGGCCUACCAAGGCAUCGAUCGGUAGCUGGUCUGAGAGGACGGUCAGCCACACUGGGACUGAGAUACGGCCCAG
This 222-nucleotide ribosomal RNA is filed under the name uncultured bacterium. RNAcentral's name for it is "partial 16S ribosomal RNA". It matches the Rfam family "Bacterial small subunit ribosomal RNA", at positions 111 to 334 of the family's 1533-position model. The record is from RNAcentral.